AACGAACGCUGGCGGCAUGCCUAACACAUGCAAGUCGAACGAUUGCCUUCGGGUGAUAGUGGCGCACGGGUGCGUAACGCGUGGGAAUCUGCCCUUAGGUUCGGAAUAACAGCUGGAAACGGCUGCUAAUACCGGAUGAUAUCGCGAGAUCAAAGAUUUAUCGCCUGAGGAUGAGCCCGCGUUGGAUUAGGUAGUUGGUGGGGUAAAGGCCUACCAAGCCGACGAUCCAUAGCUGGUCUGAGAGGAUGGUCAGCCACACUGGGACUGAGACACGGCCCAGACUCCUACGGGAGGCAGCAGUGGGGAAUAUUGGACAAUGGGCGCAAGCCUGAUCCAGCAAUGCCGCGUGAGUGAUGAAGGCCCUAGGGUUGUAAAGCUCUUUUACCCGGGAAGAUAAUGACUGUACCGGGAGAAUAAGCCCCGGCUAACUCCGUG
RNAcentral lists this ribosomal RNA (435 nucleotides) under uncultured bacterium. RNAcentral describes it as "partial 16S ribosomal RNA". It matches the Rfam family "Bacterial small subunit ribosomal RNA", at positions 29 to 507 of the family's 1533-position model. The record is from RNAcentral.